Long non-coding RNA from Oncorhynchus tshawytscha (Chinook salmon), 1933 nucleotides. The record is from Ensembl. NCBI's taxonomy places the organism in Eukaryota, Metazoa, Chordata, Actinopteri, Salmoniformes, Salmonidae.
GGGUGCCCGUGUUUUCGGAGUUGGAGUUGUACCUGGUAGGUUCAUUGAUAAUUUGUGUGAGAUUGAGGGCAUCAAGCUUGGAUUGUAGGAUGGCUGGGGUGUUAAGCAUGUCCCAGUUUAUGUCACCUAGUAGCACGAGCUCAGAAGAUAGAUGGGGGGCAAUCAAUUCACAUAUGGUGUCGAGGGCACAGCUGGGGGCAGAGGGAGGUCUAUUGCAAGCGGCAACAGUGAGAGACUUGUUUCUGGAAAGGUUAAUUUUUAGUAGAAGCUCGAAUUGUUUGGGUACAGAACUCUGCAGGCUUUCUUUGCAGUAGAUUGCAACACCGACCCCUUUGGCAGUUUUAUCUUGACGGAAAAUGCUAUAGUUAGCGAUGGAGAUUUCAAGGUUUUUGGUGGUUUUCCUAAGCCAGGAUUCAGACACGACUAAGACAUCCAGGUUGGCAGAGUGUGCUAAAGCAGUGAGUAAAUAAUAUAUGAACUGGCCGUCUAGCACGUUCGGAAGAGAGUAAAGGGAGCAGGUUUCUGGGCACGAUAGCAUAGAUUAAAGACAUAGUGUACAGACAAAGGUAAGGUAGGAUGUGAGUACAUUGGAGGUAAAUCUAGGCAUUGAGUAAUGAUGAGAGAGAUAUAGUCUCUAGAGAUGUUUAAACCAGGUGAUGUCAUCGUAUAUGUAGGAGGUGGAACAACAUGGUUGGUUAAGGCCUAUUGAGCAGGGCUAGAGGCUCUACAGUAAAAUAAGACCACAAUCACUAACCUGGACAGUAAUGGGCGAGGCAUAUUGAUAUUAGAGAGAGGCAUGCAUAGCCAAGUGAACAUAUGGGUCCAGUGAGUGGUUGGGCUGACUGGGAACAUGGCGAUUCAGACAGUUAGCAGGCCGAUGCUAACAGUUAGUAGGCCGGGGCUAAACAAGCUAGCAGUUAGCAGACCGGGUUAGCAAGCAAGCAGUUAGCAGGGGAUAGCAGUUAGUAGACCGGGGCUAGCAAGUUAGCCUUUGGGGGACGUCGCGGUGGGGGUAAGUCUGUUUUUGCCGAUACACCAGUGAUCUGAGAUCACUUGAAAAGUUGAAAAUCUGCCACAGAAGAGGCAUCAAGCUAACCACACUGCCAAAGACCUUGUCGAAACUAAGAUGUUUGAAAGAACUGGACUUCUCAGACAACGUAGGGUAGCAGAUUCCUGAGAGCAUCGGAUUCCUGAGAACAGUGGGGAUAAUACACAAGCAUUCCACAGUACAUUUCAUAUUCAAAUUGUAUUGUUGUGUACUGUAUGCUUAGCAAGUGAGGUAUUGUUGCAACUUUGUUAUUUUGCUAUAGAGCACAUCUUGCAAAAGGCUUUCCGGUCUCUGGCCAAUAACUUACAGGGCAAUGACGUAAGAUACACACUGAGGAGUUUAAGUCCAAAGAGAAUAAACGGUAUGACUUGAAUCAUCCUAUAAACCUCUAAUUUGGCAUAGAAUUUCAGUGAUAAUGUUCCUCAAUUUCAUUUCAGUGUCCAAUUACAAUCAAGGAAUUGAUAGGAAAUGGAAUCACUCAAUUUGAUUUGACACUCAAUUUGAUUACUUUGUGUGUGUAGGGCAUCCCAGAAGGAAAAAACCAUGCAGGCCCUGACUCUGUGGAUAGACUUAUUCCAUAGUGACCAGAAGGCAUCUGUCAUAGCUGACCAACUUGUGAGGACUCUGAUCUUGGUAGGCCUAUACACACUCUACUCUCAGGUCCAGGCCAUCAAGAUAUAUGCCAAAGCCAGGAGACAAUGAAUACACUAUGCCAAAUGUGCUAUAUGAAUAGAGGUACGCCUUCAUGACAGUUCAUGACAUUGUGAAGUUGGAAAGUGAGAGGAGUCAUUUGUUUUUCAUAAAUGUACAUUUACCAAGUGAAUCCAUACCAAAGUAUUGAUUAUUGUUUGACCAUGAGAAUAAAUGCAAUUGGAUAUGCAUCAA